This 468-nucleotide ribosomal RNA is filed under the name uncultured bacterium. Its description in RNAcentral is "partial 16S ribosomal RNA". It matches the Rfam family "Bacterial small subunit ribosomal RNA", at positions 28 to 507 of the family's 1533-position model. The record is from RNAcentral.
GACGAACGCUGGCGGCGUGCUUAACACAUGCAAGUCGAACGGAAAGGCCCUGCUUUUGUGGGGUGCUCGAGUGGCGAACGGGUGAGUAACACGUGAGUAACCUGCCCUUGACUUUGGGAUAACUUCAGGAAACUGGGGCUAAUACCGGAUAGGAGCUCCUGCUGCAUGGUGGGGGUUGGAAAGUUUCGGCGGUUGGGGAUGGACUCGCGGCUUAUCAGCUUGUUGGUGGGGUAGUGGCUUACCAAGGCUUUGACGGGUAGCCGGCCUGAGAGGGUGACUGGCCACAUUGGGACUGAGAUACGGCCCAGACUCCUACGGGAGGCAGCAGUGGGGAAUAUUGCACAAUGGGCGGGAGCCUGAUGCAGCAACGCCGCGUGCGGGAUGACGGCCUUCGGGUUGUAAACCGCUUUCGCCUGUGACGAAGCGUGAGUGACGGUAAUGGGUAAAGAAGCACCGGCUAACUACGUG